Molecule: ribosomal RNA, 695 nt
Filed under: uncultured fungus
Lineage: Eukaryota; Fungi
Description: eukaryotic LSU rRNA
Rfam family: Eukaryotic large subunit ribosomal RNA
Source: RNAcentral
CCCGCUGAACUUAAGCAUAUAAUUAAGCGGAGGAAAAGAAACUAAAUAGGAUUCUCUUAGUAAUGGCGAAUGAACAGAGAGGAGCUCAAAAUGGAAAUCACGCGCAGUUUUGUGCGGGAAUUGUAGUCUGAAGAAGUGUUUCCAGUGGACGUUGCAGAGAAAAGUCUCUUGACAGAGAACGCCAGAGAGGGUGAGAGUCCCGUCGCUGCUCUGCGGGACGUCCACAUACGGGGCAUUUUCGUAGAGUCGCGUUUCUUGGGAGUGAAACGCAAAUUUGGUGGUAAAUUUCAUCUAAGGCUAAAUAUUUUAUGGGAAACCGAUAGCAAAGAAGUACCUUGAGGGAAAGAUGAAAAGGACUUUGGAAAGAGAGUUAAAAUUCCCCGAAUUUGCUGAAAAGGAGGCGGUUGAAAUGCGAAGUGCAAACCUGAUAGUAUAGUUGUCUGGGAGUUGCAAGCAUUGCUGUUCCACCUUUAAGGGUUGCCGUAAUGUUCUGUUGCUUUUGGGCAGCGAGUCUGUCAGGAUGAAUCAGCUGAGGUUGGUGCUCUCAUGUGGAGGUACAACGGGAGGUCUUUCGGGACCUUCGCUGUUGUUCUGUUUCCAAUGGAAAGCGCCGACCGAGGUAAAGGCAGAUGCUGGUUUUCUGGCAUGCUUGGUAGCUGAUAACAGAGUUUCCACCGGCCCGUCUUGAAACACGG